Long non-coding RNA from Ruditapes philippinarum (Manila clam), 387 nucleotides. RefSeq lists it as uncharacterized. Lineage: Eukaryota; Metazoa; Mollusca; Bivalvia; Venerida; Veneridae. The transcript is spliced from 2 exons. The record is from RefSeq and is a predicted model, not a curated record.
UUUCAGUCAGGUUAAAUAGGAUUUGAAUUAUUUACUGUUCAGAUUUUAUGUGAAGCAUUUCAAAAAUGUCUGCUUCAAAGAUUCUGUUGAUGAUACAGAUUUUAUCUUUCUGUUUGUUACUAAUAGAAGCUGGAGAUACUGAGCACGAUGUGCCGGUCUUCAUAGAGAACCUAGACAGAAUAAGCCGUGGAGGUGGGACAGGUAGCAAAAAAAUCAGACAAAGAAAAGAUGAUCAUGAUAAUGACGUCAGGUUUACCAUUCACAUCAAGAGAACAUCUUCCAUCAAAACCCAUCGAUCACGUUACCACAUGAUACAUUAUAAAGACACACGUUAAUAACUUGUUUUCUUGGUUUUAAAAUCAUGGACGAAAUUGUGAAAUGUGUUGA